CAUUGUAACAUCUGGUUGUUAGGAUCAGUACCUAAUUUUAUCACUGUCGUCCAUAACCUAGAGCCUAGCAUGGUGCUGGGCUCAUAGUUACUUAAGUAAAACGACCUGAUUUUGCUGGAUCUGUUUCUUCUUGCGCAGCUCUUCAUGCAGCUGACAGGGAUCAUAUCAGAUGUCUGAAGGUGGCAGGUUCUGAGAAUCUGUGUCCAGAUGGCUGCUGAAGCUUCUACUUCAAGGUUCAAGGGCAGCAGUUCUCAGGAGACCCCAACACUUCACAUCUUUGGCAGGAUCUUAUUUUUGGCUCAGGUGACCAUGAACAAACACUAUGAUGUCUCCCAGCAAGUCCUUGACCUCCAGAGGCUCUGCUUUGACCCAGCCCAGGUGACUUCAAGACAGCCCCUGGGAGUACACUGGUUCUCACCUGGCCCAAGGCGAGUCCCAGGAAUUCAGGCCAAGUGAGUGGAGACUGAGUGACCUGGGGAUGAGACUCAGGGCUCCUGGAUCUGCUGAUCUCCCAUAUCCCUCCCUUCACUUCCUCCAGGCCAAGCACACAAUCCCAGAGGAAGACCUCACCCAGGCUGGUGCAGGACCCUGAGAACAUAGCCCUGACAAGAAACCCUUGAGUGUGGUCAUCUUCAUCCUCAGCAUCUUUGUUGUGUUUUUCUUCUAGUCUGAGUAGAUCCCUGUGAUUGAGCAGGUGGUUGCUUGAGGCUGGGAAGCCAACAUUUAACUGAUACUAAUCCACCCAAAGGGCACCGUAGUUCUGUGUAUUUGUCUCACUCAGAAUCCCUGAUUCUUUUUUUUUUUUUUUUUUUUUUAGUUUUUUUUUUUAAGUAAUCUCUACACCCAACAAAGGGCUGGAACUCACAACCUUGAGAUCAAGAGUCGUGUGCUCUACAGACUGAGCCAGCCAGGGUCCCCCUGAUUCUUCUGAUAAUAAAGAAUGACAUUGCAUGUUGUGUCA
Molecule: long non-coding RNA, 961 nt
Filed under: Vulpes vulpes (red fox)
Lineage: Eukaryota; Metazoa; Chordata; Mammalia; Carnivora; Canidae
Description: lncRNA (ENSVVUG00000001674.1)
Source: RNAcentral